UGUGCCCUGAAUCAAGGCCAACAACUUGCUGUAGCUGUUGGUUUCAAACAGUGGCCAAAACUGAAGUCUUCAGAUGGUCUGUUGAUUUUCCCAGAAUUUGAAAAAUGGGAAGAAUCAGUUCAGUUAGGAGAUACAUUU
Molecule: small nucleolar RNA, 138 nt
Organism: Tachysurus fulvidraco (yellow catfish)
Lineage: Eukaryota; Metazoa; Chordata; Actinopteri; Siluriformes; Bagridae
Source: RefSeq, a predicted model, not a curated record